GAUGAACGCUGGCGGCGUGCCUAAUACAUGCAAGUCGAGCGAACGGACGAGAAGCUUGCUUCUCUGAUGUUAGCGGCGGGCGGGUGAGUAACACGUGGAUAACCUACCUAUAAGACUGGGAUAACUUCGGGAAACCGGAGCUAAUACCGGAUAAUAUUUUGAACCGCAUGGUUCAAAAGUGAAAGACGGUCUUGCUGUCACUUAUAGAUGGAUCCGCGCUGCAUUAGCUAGUUGGUAAGGUAACGGCUUACCAAGGCAACGAUGUAUAGCCGACCUGAGAGGGUGAUCGGCCACACUGGAACUGAGACACGGUCCAGACUCCUACGGGAGGCAGCAGUAGGGAAUCUUCCGCAAUGGGCGAAAGCCUGACGGAGCAACGCCGCGGGAGUGAUGGAGGUCUUCGGAUCGUAAAACGCUGUUAUUAGGGAAGAACAUAUGUGUAAGUAACUGUGCACAUCUUGACGGUACCUAAUCAGAAAGCCACGGCUAACUACGU
This 496-nucleotide ribosomal RNA is filed under the name uncultured bacterium. RNAcentral's name for it is "partial 16S ribosomal RNA". It matches the Rfam family "Bacterial small subunit ribosomal RNA", at positions 28 to 506 of the family's 1533-position model. The record is from RNAcentral.